UAGGGAAUCUUCCGCAAUGGGCGAAAGCCUGACGGAGCAACGCCGCGUGAGUGAUGAAGGUCUUCGGAUCGUAAACUCUGUUAUUAGGGAAGAACAAAUGUGUAAGUAACUAUGCACGUCUUGACGGUACCUAAUCAGAAAGCCACGGCUAACUACGUGCCAGCAGCCGCGGUAAUACGUAGGUGGCAAGCGUUAUCCGGAAUUAUUGGGCGUAAAGCGCGCGUAGGCGGUUUUUUAAGUCUGAUGUGAAAGCCCACGGCUCAACCGUGGAGGGUCAUUGGAAACUGGAAAACUUGAGUGCAGAAGAGGAAAGUGGAAUUCCAUGUGUAGCAGUGAAAUGCGCAGAGAUAUGGAGGAACACCAGUGGCGAAGGCGACUUUCUGGUCUGUAACUGACGCUGAUGUGCGAAAGCGUGGGGAUCAAACAGG
RNAcentral lists this ribosomal RNA (428 nucleotides) under Actinomycetes bacterium. RNAcentral describes it as "Actinobacteria bacterium partial 16S ribosomal RNA". It matches the Rfam family "Bacterial small subunit ribosomal RNA", at positions 355 to 776 of the family's 1533-position model. Lineage: Bacteria; Bacillati; Actinomycetota; Actinomycetes. The record is from RNAcentral.